RNAcentral lists this ribosomal RNA (452 nucleotides) under uncultured Pseudomonadota bacterium. RNAcentral's name for it is "bacterial SSU rRNA". It matches the Rfam family "Bacterial small subunit ribosomal RNA", at positions 28 to 475 of the family's 1533-position model. Lineage: Bacteria; Pseudomonadati; Pseudomonadota. The record is from RNAcentral.
AUUGAACGCUGGCGGCGUGCUUAACACAUGCAAGUCGAGCGGCAGCGCGGGGGCAACCCUGGCGGCGAGCGGCGAACGGGUGCGUAAUGCAUGGGAAUCUGCCUAGUAGUGGGGAAUAACCCGGCGAAAGCCGGGCUAAUGCCGCAUACGACCUACGGGUGAAAGCGGGGGAUCGCAAGACCUCGCGCUAUUAGAUGAGCCCAUGUCGGAUUAGCUAGUUGGUGGGGUAAUGGCCUACCAAGGCGACGAUCCGUAGCUGGUCUGAGAGGACGGCCAGCCACACUGGGACUGAGACACGGCCCAGACUCCUACGGGAGGCAGCAGUGGGGAAUUUUGGACAAUGGGGGCAACCCUGAUCCAGCGACGCCGCGUGUGUGAAGAAGGCCUGCGGGUUGUAAAGCACUUUCGUUGGGAACGAAAUAUGCCGACCUAAUACGUCGGUAGGCUGACGU